Apis dorsata (giant honeybee) is the source of this 780-nucleotide long non-coding RNA. RefSeq lists it as uncharacterized. The transcript has 3 exons. The record is from RefSeq and is a predicted model, not a curated record. Lineage: Eukaryota; Metazoa; Arthropoda; Insecta; Hymenoptera; Apidae.
GGUCGAUUUUGGAAGAGGGGGGGGAAAGGAUCGAUGAAUUGGAAAACGAUCGAAAACGACCCUCCGUCACACGGCACGCGACACGGAAUCGAAUAUUCAUCGGUGCGCGCUCCUUUUUUUUUCUCACGAGCCCACUGCCACCUUUGACCAAAGGACGAAAGCACCGUGACGAACCAACCGUGAAAAUGGCGGAUAGCUACGUGCAAACCGAGUUACGUUACGACGUCGAGAUGUAGUCGUGCAACUGUGAAGAACUGUGGCAGAAAAAGAAUGGACAGCAGCUGCUAGACGACCGACAAAUUAGUCAGAAUUCACAUAUAUGGCAUCGAUUACAAGUUUCCUGAACGUGAGCAACGGGCAUAAACGACUAACCAUAGAAAGCGUCGAAGAAACGAAAAAUUUAUACGUAUUUACAUGUUAACGAUAUAUCCACAUUUUUUUUCGAGGAUUCGAAAUUAUAAAUGCAAUGACAAGCAAGGAGGCAAAACGCGAAGACGAUGAUCGUCGCAAUAAAUGACGGCGUAACGAAUGGAACAGCAAUUUUCCGGACUGGUGGACUUACAUUCUAAACGGAUGUACUAUUAUUAGAUCGCAGUUUGAUAUUGGCUUUGCCUUUCAAUUAAUAUGGGAAAGCCUCGAGGCUUAUCUGAUCUACGAUCUCUCUAGUUUUAAUCUGGAAAAAAUCAAUUAACUAAAUGAUCUUAUCGUAUUAAAUUUGAUAAUAAAUUAAACGUAACACAACGAUCGCUUUGUUCGAUAAAAUUCAUGCCUUAUUUUUUU